AUGCUGCAGCUCAGCGCUUCGAGAGGCAGCGGCCAACGUCAAAGAUGCGCUCGCGGCGGCGGCCGGCGGCUGGUGCGGCAGCAAGCUCGAGGUGCUCAACUCCCCGGAAAUCCCGUGCUACGCGGUUCCGUCGCCAACGUGGCCGCGCUCUCCGGCUACUGCAGUCAGUUGAAUCUGUUCGAUGAUGCGGUUGGUGCAGACAAGGACGCUGGCGGUGGCGGGCAGGGGUUUGCGGCCCUGGACGGCUGGAUGAUGGGUGCCGGCCUCGGGUCUUACCUUGACCUGUCCGGCAACCUCAUCGGCUGCGAUGUGGCCGCCAGGGCGCUCUCCGGCUGCCGCAGUCUCAGAGCGCUCAACCUCUCCAGCAACCAUCUCGCCGGCGCGUUUCUGCCGAACAUCGCUGGUCCUGUGUGUAGUCCUCGCCGCUCCGUCCGCGGAGACCGGAGGCCAUGGUGGCGGGCCGCCUCGGCAUGGUGUCGCAGCACGAGCGGGGGAGAGCGCGGCCACGCUGUUGGUUCCUUAGGUCGACCUGGCGGUUGCAGCAUGUUUCUCGCGCCCGCCCAGACUGCAGGUGAUCCACCUACAGCCUGCGUCGCCACCAUGGGGAACUAUCGCCUCAGUGGUGUCCAAGAUCGGCAAGUACGUCAAUCCUGGGGACACGAUCGACUAGAUGAAGAAGCUGUUGGAGAGGAUCUGGCGACUGCAGGAGCCGAGCCGGAUAUGCCGCUGGGCAGGCUGGUUUUUCAAUUUGGUCCGCUGUGCCGAACACUGGCGGUCUGGUGGUUAUUCUAUAAGCUGAAUAUACGCCCCAACCUGAACUAUCUCCAUUGCACAGAAAAAUUCAUCAUAAUCACUACAUCAACUGCUAAUUCUCUUCAUGGGAUCACCACUUCUAUCAAGUGGAAUCAACCGAGCCGUUGCUUUAGAUGGAGGCAGCAGCUAUUACUACCAAACCUUGAAAAGCAAUUGGAAACAACCCCCCAACCUUCUCCGACAGUAGUAGAGUUAUUAAGUAGCCAGGGAGCUGUGUACGCAUGA
RNAcentral lists this ribosomal RNA (1038 nucleotides) under Triticum aestivum (bread wheat). RNAcentral describes it as "partial small subunit ribosomal RNA". Lineage: Eukaryota; Viridiplantae; Streptophyta; Magnoliopsida; Poales; Poaceae. The record is from RNAcentral.